RNAcentral lists this long non-coding RNA (10794 nucleotides) under Gossypium barbadense (sea-island cotton). Its description in RNAcentral is "long non-coding RNA (GBAR_LNC023127)". Lineage: Eukaryota; Viridiplantae; Streptophyta; Magnoliopsida; Malvales; Malvaceae. The record is from RNAcentral.
CAACAUCUUACACCCUAAUUCCAUGCACCAACAUCUCUAACUAUCUUAUGAACUUACAUAUCCCAAGAGGCUGAGGUCAUCCUUAUUGUUGUAAAAGCUUGUGUUUCUUCUUCCACUAACAAUCUCUAGUAGUAGAACUCCAUAGCUGAACACAUCUGAUUUCUCUAAAAAUUGCCCUUGCAUUGCAUACUCAGGAGACAUAUAACCACUGUAUUUUAACAUAAAAAACAACACCAAUUACAACUGUAAUUUAAACUUGUCCACGAGCCAACCCGAAUUAAGAAUAAAUAAUAAAUCAUUUAAAAUUAAAAACAAUAAAUUGAGUUCACAAAUUGAACAAAAUUAAACUUGAUACGGGUAUGGACAUGUAUUUUCUUUAAGCACCGAACCUGACCAUAGACAUAUUUAUAUCAUAUUUUAUCAAAAAAUGAAUAAAAAUAAAUUGUAGGGAGAAAGUUCCAACUUACUAAGUUCCAACAACCCUUUUAGUAUUGGCUUGAUUUUCGCCACCUCCGAAGAUCCUGGCCAUCCCAAAAUCUGAAAUUUUUGGAUUUAAAUCUUGGUCAAGUAAAACAUUACUUGCUUUUAGAUCUCUAUGUAUAAUCCUUAAUCUUGAAUCUCUAUGAAGAUAAAGCAAUCCUCGACUGAUCCCUUCAAUAAUGUUGAAGCGUUUUCUCCAAUCCAAGAGUCUUUGUUUAACAGGAUCUGUAACAAAAUUUACCACCAAGAUUAAUAAUUAAUUCCUAUAAUUGAGUAUUUAAACUAAAACCAACACUUUUAUUUCUAUCAUAUUGCAUUCAUUAUGAUUGUAGCAUAAUUGAAGUUAUGUGAAUCAAUUGAAAUAAAUAUUAAAAUGAGAGAGAGACAAAACUUACUGUUGCCACUAAUAUUUAAAUCCUAGAGUAUAGACCAACUCCUAUUAAAAAAUAUAUAAUCCUCCUUAUAAAAUAGAUAAAAAAAAAGGAGAAAAUUCAAAGGAAAAAGUGAAAAUUCAGAAAAAUAAUGUAGACAACACAAAAUUGAAUAUAUAUAGUAAUUUUAUUUAAUAACCUUGAAUGUUAUUCUAUUUUCUUUUUGAAAUUUCCUUAAUUUUUUGAAUAAAAAUAAAAAAUUAGAAAAAUUUAUAAUAAAAAAAGCAAAAUAAGUUAGAAGAAUAGUUUAUGGUGAUGCAAACAUUUUUUUUUACUUAUAUAUAUAACAUAUUAUAUAUGUAUACAUAUAUAUUGUACCUAGCUUAGCUAGGUUAUACAAUUCAUAUAUUGUAAGACACUUUAUUUUUAGCAAUAAAUAUAAUAUAUAAUUAGAUUUAAGUUGGAUUGGGCCACUUAAGAUUAUACCCAAAUUUAACUUAUCAAAUUAGGCAUAUAAGGCAAUCAGGAAAAUAUACCCACGACUAAUGAAUUGAAAUUCCUCUAAACCAAAGUUUUAAAUUUAAAUUUUGUUUAAUCUUUUUAAGAAUUCGACUUGAUUUGAUUCUAAAUUUGAUCCGAGUUUAAUAUGAAACACUAAAAAAAAUUAAUAAGUUACUAACCAAAUAGAAAAGCAUCCAAACUUUUAUUGGGCAUGAACUCAUAGACGAGUAUCUUCUCUUCUGCUUCAACACAACACCCAAAUAAUCUAACCAGAUUUCGAUGUUGGAGCUUUGAAAUAACCACCACUUCGUUCAUAAAUUCUUCCAAUCCUUGCCCCGAAGCUUUUGACAAUCUCUUCACUGCUAUUUCUUUUCCAUCAUCUAAUGUUCCCUGCACUCAGAAUUCAGAUCACAAUACUUGAUUGAAAAAAAAAAGUCAUUUCGCAUUGACUCUGAAUUCGCCGGAAAUCGCUAUUAUUUAUUACCUUGUAAACCGGACCAAAACCACCCUGCCCUAGCUUUUUUUCGGGAUGGAAGUUGUUGGUUGCGGUGGCAAGUUCUUCGAAAUUGAAUAGUGGAAGCUGCUGGAGUUUAACACCGAUUAAACUUUCUCCUACAUUUUCACUAUAAGAUCUGUGUUUGAUCUGUUUGUGUCUUUUAUUCGUUCCUGAGAUAGAAAUCAAAGAAGCAAUGAGUUGAAGGCUACAUAAUUGUAAUUACUGCUAUGCCCACAAUUACCGUUGUAAUAACAAUGGCGAUAUUGUUGUCAAGAAGACAUGAGUUCGUAGAAAAACAUUAUUUUUUUAUUUAUUGAUUUUAGGUAUUGUUCCAAAUUUAUCAGAUGUACCCGAAGAGUUCUCUUAAAGUGAUUACAUAUUUCUUAUAAAAAGAAAGUGACUACAUAAAUUAAAUAAACAGAGACGACAAUUUACCUCUUUGUUUAGCCAUCCCACACCAUAGGAAGAGUGCAGAAAUUGUAAUAACGACUAUGCCCGCAGUUACUGUUGUAAUAACAAUGACCUUACUACUUUUCCCUUUAUCUGCAAAUAGAAAAACUUGGUUAAUAACUUCAACCCAAAAGGCAGAUAUUGACGCAAUUUAUCAAACACAUGGUCGACACUAAGAAACUUUACCCAGUUCCGAAGAUGGCAGACGAAAUUGUAGCAUUAUGCCAUGCCAUGAUGCAGCAUUUAAUCACACAACACAAUAAACAUCACUUAAGUUUCUUAGCAAUAUGAUGGUAAAAAUAUAUUAGCACAGAACGCACGUCAAUGCUUUUCAACUUAAUCUUGUAUUAGCACAGAAGGAAUCAUCAAGAAAUUGUACCUAAUUCACAUACCUGCUAAACGAUGCAGAAAACAGAAAAGGAAGCAAUGAAAUGGAAUUGAAUGAAACCCUAAACACAAACCCUAUAAAAUCAGUUCCUAACCAAUGAAACCAUUCAGAAAAUAAAUAAACAUUCGAAGCAUUACAUUACCUUCAAAACGAUGAACAAAAAUUGAAGAGGAAGACCGAAAACCCUAUAAACAGAGUAUAUUUUUUUUAAUGUCAGUUUCUCAGCACAAUAACAGGGAAGGAAAAAUAAAAUUAACAAAUUGGGGAAAACCCAAUGUAUACGGAGGCAGAAUGGGGAAAGCAAACCUGAACACUUAUUCCCCCGACCACCAAUUCCGACGAUGCUCCUCGACGUUCUCCGUCAACUGUAUGUGUCUAUGGAAUGUACAAACCCGAUUUUUAUCAAUUUUGCAAGAAAUUGAAACACCCAAACAAGGAAAUUUGAAAGAGAUACAGAAUUGAUUUUCAGAAAUGGGAGAAAGCAAAAACAGUAAAUGGAGUUAGGGAUUUCAGAACUUAGGGAUUUUAGAAGAGGAAAAAUGAAAUUGGAGGGGGUAUACCCCAAAAUCUGAUCUCUCACUAAACGACACCGUUUCAAUUAAAUAUAUUUGCGGCGUUUUUCAUAGAAACGCCACUAAUAAUUCAGUUGUUAUAAUAUAUAAUUUUUUUUAUUAUAAUUAUUAUUUUUAAUAAGUUUCUUACUUAAUACUUUUUUUAAAUGAUAAAAUUUAUAAAAAAAAUUUAAUUUUAUACAGUAUGAUUAAUUUAAACAUUAACAACAUUAAAAUUUAUAAAUAUUAAUCCCAAUACCCUAAAAUACAUAACUUUCAUUUGCGGUGUUUUUACAAAAAACGCCCCUAAUACCAAUAAACAGUAUAAAAACGAAGACGUUUCGGUUACACGUUUUGUGGCGUUUUUGCAAUAAACGCCACAAAUCUUGUUCUAUAGCGGCGUUUUCUGUAUAAGCGCCGCUAAUUUUUCAAUUUAUUUUAUUUGUCUUUAUUUAUAAGUUUAAUGAUUUUUAAUAGAUUUUUUUUGGUAAUUGUUAUGACAUUAUUUUAAAUUGAUACAUUAAUAUGCAUUUAUAAAAUUAUUUCAAUUUUAUGCAGUAUAUAUAAUAUAUAACAUAUAUGCAUAGAUAUAUAUCGUGGCAUAUAUUAUAUAUAUAACCCUGUCACUUAUAAUCCUAUAUACUAGUGACAUAAUAAGAAGUAAAAAGCAGAAAAGAAUUUUAAUUUUAAUUUUUUUGCUUUUGUACCCUAAAACCCGAAGCUAUUAAUCCCUUAUAACCCGUAACAUUAAAUUAAAGGCUAAACCCCUAGCUAACUCGUAUUCUUCAUGCAAAUUCGAACGCAAAAACCAAGCAUUGUAACAUCAAAUCAAUAAGGGUGACCAUAAACCAUAAACAAUCAUGCCGUAAAAUAGUAAAUUUGAUCAUUACAUCUUAUAAGCUGUAAACCUCGCAUUAAACUAACAUGUAAACUCAAACCCUAAACCCCAUUCCUCAAGCCGUAAACCUAAACCCAAAACCCUAAACAUAAAAUUAUAAUCCUAAAUUAAUAAACAUUAUGUAUCGAACCCUAAAACCCCAAACCAUAUGCAACAAAACUUAAAUAUUAAUCCCAAUACCCUAAAUACAUAACUUUCAUUUGCGGCGUUUUUACAAAAAUGCCGCUAAUACAAUAAACAGUAUAAAACGAAGUCUUUUCGGUUACAAAUCUUGUUCUAUAGCGGCGUUUUCUGUAUAAACGCCGCUAAUUUUUUCAAUUUAUUUUAUUUGUCUUUAUUUAUAAGUCUAAUGAUUUUUAGUAGAUUUUUAUUUUGAUAAUUGUUAUGACAUUAUUUUAAAUUGAUACAUUAAUAUGAAUUUAUAAAAUUAUUUCAAUUUUAUGCAGUAUGUAUAAUAUAUAACAUAUAUGCAUAGAUAUAUAUCGUGACAUAUUAUAUACAUAUAUAUAUAACCCUGUCUCUUAUAAUCCUAUAUACUAGUGACAUAAUAAGAAGUAAAAAGCAGAAAGAAUUUUAAUUUUUUUUUGCUUUUGUACCCUAAAACCCGAAGCUAUUAAUCCCUAUAACCCGUAAACACUAAAAUUAAAGGCUAAACCCUAGCUAACUCAUAUUCUUCAUGCAAAUCCGAACACAAAAACCAAGCAUUGUAGCAUUCAAAUCAAUAAGGGUAAACCAUAAACCAUAAACAUCAAGCCGUAAAACAAUAAAUUUAUCAUUAAUAUAUCUUAUAAGCCGUAAACCUCGCAUUAAAACUAACAUGUAAACUCAAACCCUAAACCCCAUUCCUCAAGCUGUAAACUAAACCCAAAACCCUAAACAUAAAAUUGUAAUCCUAAAUUAAUAAACAUUAUGUAUUAAACCCUAAAACCCCAAACCGUAUACAAUAAAACUUAAAUAUUAAUCCCAAAACCCUAAAAUACAUAACUUUCAUUUGCGGCGUUUUUACAAAAAUGCCGCUAAUACCAAUAAACAGUAUAAAAACGAAGUCGUUUCGGUUACACAUUUUGGCGGCGUUUUUGCAAUAAACGCCACAAAUCUUGUUCUAUAGCGGCGUUUCUGUAUAAGCGCCGCUAAUUUUUUAAUUUAUUUUAUUUGUCUUUAUUUAUAAUUUUAAUGAUUUUUAGUAGAUUUUUUAUUUGAUAAUUGUUUAUGACAUUAUUUUAAAUUGAUACAUUAAUAUGAAUUUAUAAAAUUAUUUCAAUUUUAUGCAGUAUGUAUAAUUUAAUAUAACCAACAUUAUAAUUUAAUAACUUACUGAAAUUAUUCAAAUAAUAUAAUGUUAUAACAAUUUUAAUUUAGAUCCCAAUAUAUGCUCUAUUUUUAAGCUAACAAACAAAUGUAAAUACGUAACUAACACCAAUAUUAAUAUAUAUAUGUUUCAUAAUAUAUACUUAUAAUAUAAUAAUAUAAUUCCAACAUUAAUUGAGAAUAUAUAAAAGAAUGAAAUAAUAUUUUAGAUUUUUCUAAUUAGCGGCGUUUUUAACACAACGCGCUAUAGACCGAAGACUUACCAGGUGCUGUUACACAAACGCCGCUAUAGACCGGAACAUUAGCGGCGAUUCUCCAUAAACGCCACUUUAGAGCGGAGGCACCACAUCGGCGGUUUAUAAAAAAACGCCGCUAUAGAUCGGAUUAUUUGCGGCGCAUAAAAAAAAGGCCGCUAAAGAUAAGACCAAUUAGCGGCGCAGACACAAAAACGCCCGGUACUUUACCGACGCUUAACGCCAAACGCCGUUGAAGAACGGAGUAUUAGUGGCGCUUGGGAAAACCGCCGCUAAUGUUCCCAAAUAUAUGAAAACGGCAUCGUUCUGUGUUACUCUAUUGCGGCGCUUUUUGUAAAACGCCACUAAUGCUUGGUUUUAGCAGCGUUUUUUUAUGUAACGCCGCUAAUGCUCGAUAUUUUGCGGCGUUUUUCGUAAAAUGCCGCUAAUGCUCGACUGUUAGUGGCGUUCUUUGUCCAAACGCCGCUAAAAGCGCCGCUAUAUCCCUAUUUUGGUGUAGUGUUUAUCUGCAAAUCCAGAAACAUGGUUAAUAAAACAUCAACACCAAAAAAGCAGAUAUUGACGCAAUUUAUCAAACACACGGUCGACAUUAAGAAAAUUUACCGCGUUCCGAAGAUGGCAGACGAAUGUAAAGAUCGACUCCGCUAGUGGAGAAAUAUCAAUCAAAUCUCCACUCCACAACAUGCAACCAAUGCCAUCAUCAUACGCAUUAAGCCACGCACGAACAAUUCUUCAUGCACUGAUCUUUGCACUCGCCGUUACUGAUGACGGGUGUGGAAAUACCGGCACAUUCAUAUUCUUCAUGUCCAAAAACCCAUCAUCAUCUGGCCUGCUCCACUGCCAUUGUUGUUAUCUCUUUGGCAGUGCAAAGGGGUAGUCCUAAAACAUCCACUACUCCAAUUACCUCUACUCAUUCCUCUAUAUUCCUAGGCUUAAACCUCUUUAAGCAACUGCAAAUGGGUUGUUUCGAUGAAUCGCAUAUUCCAAAUGCUCCACAGUAUCCAUAAACAUCACAAUCUGUUUGAUAACUAGAGUACUCGUUUAUCCAGUUCCCUUUCCCAGCAUCCCAUCUCAGUUCAAUGAAUUUUUCCUUGAGACUCUAAUUCACCGUAUAUCAACAUAGAGUCAGUAAUAAAUUCAUAAGUCAUAUAGUAAGGUUAUUGUGGGUUUAUCUGCAACAACAACAAACCCUUGAAGAUAAGAGGUGUACAUAUUUAUUCAGCCAAUAAAGGUAUAUACCCAUUCCAUGGACCGGUCCGAAAAUAGAGCUGGUUUUUCUUCCGAAUGAUGCCCCUCUGGGAUGUUGAAAGGUUCAAAACCAAGAGAAAAGUUUCCAUCAGAUGGAUCAUCAAUGCUUUUCCAUGAUUUCAGGUCCACUUUACGACCCUUUUUUAACAUCAGUGCCUGAUCUUCAUAGUUUCAAUGAAGGCAUUAAAAGGAUAUUCAAAACUCUCCCAUAAGCUGCUUGCUCCAUCAUCACCAUUACUGAGGACGAGGUUUCCAGAGUCUAAAAGCUGGACAAUUAGGAACUGUAUUGGUAACAUUCAAUGACCAAAGAAUUUCAGCUUUUCCAUUGGAAACAACAAGGUUUCCGUCAUCUGAUAUGGUGAGAAUCCCAGAAGAGUCUUUGAGAGGCCUGUUUCUAUUUGCUACCCAUACAACAGUUUGUACGGGGAUUUGAUUCUAGAGUAUCCCUACAUAACGAUUGCUGGAGUUAGCCAAGCUGAAGAAUCCCAAUCGGAAAACACCAUUCUGGGAGAUUAUAACAUCAGGGUCUUUGAUGGAUUUUGAUGGUGUUAUGUGUCUAAAGCAGUGGCAAAUAGUAAGUAAAAGCAAGAUAUUAAAGCUAGUAAAACGGAGCAGUUAAUAGUUUUUCCCAUGAUCUCUUCCCAGUACUUGGAAGUAACCUAUGAUUUAUAAAUGAUAUUUGGAAUCUUCAAAGUCUGAUUUUGAUAUUAUGUAAUGAUAUUUCAAAGGCAGCUGCAAAUGUUUACACCAAUCCCAUAUGCAAGCAAAAGUCGACAGAAAAAGAAAGAACAUACAAAGGUGACUAGCGCUUUUAGAAACUUCUAAUCUUGAUGUAAACAUUUGCGGCUGUCAUGAACAUUUCUAUCUUAUUUAUUAAUGGUUUGUUCUACCGACAUUUUUUUAAUAUAUACUUUGGUUUUAUUUAUUUCAAUAAUGCAAAGAAUAAAAUAAAACAACAUUUAACAUAUUUUGGGUUAAGAUGUCUCAUUCCGACUUCUGAUGUACUUCAAGUCCAAGAACAAAUGCAGGGUUUAGGAUUAGUUUUAAGUUGAAGUAAUUCUGGGUUAGUUUAAACUUUUUGGGGUCAAGCUAUCUUGAAUUUAGGAUAUUUCAAGUUAUGUAUUCGACUUAUUUUAAGUUUGAAUUAUUUCAAGUUUGAAUCAUUUGAGUUUAGAUCAUACUUGAAUUUGAGUUGAUCUAGUUUGAAUUAUUGUGUUUUAUAUGUCCGGUUAAAAUUUAGAAUUUGGGACAAAAUUAAUUUUAAUUUAAUCCAAUUUAAUUCGUGUUAGGUUGAUUGUAUUUCGUCUACUUGAGUUAUUAAAAUUAUGUUAAUUUGUGUUGUUAUAGGCCUCGGUAAGAUGCUUGAUUAAGUAAAACCAUGACUAAGUUAUUCUUGCAUUACAAUUGUAAGGUAACUAAUGAAUUAAUUAUUUAAACGGAUUGAAAUUGUAAUUAAUUGACACGAUACUUAAUCAGUGCAUGUUAUUAUCUAAGGUAGCUGAGGGUUAAAUUAGCAACAGUAUCUAAUGAUACAUUAGCCUUGUAUAACUUGCAAGAUUAUUGUGAUUAAACUGUUUCAAGGGUAGAAAUACAUUGUUACCUGGCGUAAUCUUUUUGUGCUUAUGAGAUUGAAUUAAUUGUUUGAAUUAGCAUAGAGAUAUGUACAAAAGAUUAUUUUAAUUUCAUAAGUAUGUAUGUGCAUUAACACAUUUGCUUAUUAAAAUUUGUUUAAUCGGUUGAAUUGACAUAGAGAUGUAGUCAAGAGAUAAAUGGAUUUUGGUAGGUAAGUAUGUUCAUAAGUUAGCAAAUUACCGAGUUGCUGUGAAUUUAUUCGUAACAACAUUAAAAUGAGUUUAAUAAUUCUAAUUAAGUUAAGAAAUGUAAAUAAUCUAGCACAAUUAUGUCAUCUUGAUUAAAAUCAUCUUUUGAAAUUGUGCAUUGAAACUUUUAUUUUAUUUUUAUUUAUUUUACUUAGUUAAAAUCCUAGUUUUUAAUCACCUCCUCAAAUCAAAAUAUUUUUCUUCACCAAAGUGUUUUUAAUUGCAUUCAUAAAUAAUUCUUUUCACAACCCCUGUGGUUAUGAUAACUCGGCAUUUACUUGUCACUUUAUUACUUGUUGCGAUUGUGUACACUUGAACAUUUCCUUCGUUCCACCUUUUUCAGUAAUUUUGCUGACAGUGCAUCUUGCUUGAAGCGUUCUUAACAUUAUAUUUUCAGAGCCGUCUUCUCAAAAUUAUUUUUUCAGGAGCUACUGUAGAAAAAAACAAAAUCCUUAUUGUCAAUAUAAUUUUCCCUAAACCCUAAACCUAAACACAAAAUUAUUUAAAAAACUAAACCAUAAUUUAGUUAAUUUUCUUAAAAACUCUAAGCCCUAAUUUAGUUAAUUUAUUUAAAACCCCUAAAACCUAAUUUAAUUAUUUUAAAAAAAACUCUAAACCUUGAUUUAUUCGCUAAACCUACCUUAAACCCUAAACCUAAAUUAUUUUAACAAAACCCUAGCCCUAACCUUAAACCCUAAAAACCUUAAACCAAAAAACCCUAGUGACUAAACAUGCAAAAAGCCCUAACCCUAGAAAAACUUGGGCUAAAUCGCGUCCCUGGGGGAGCGAUUUUGCCACGUUAGCGCGUUUUGUGCUGACAUGGCAAAAUCGCUCCCCCAGGGACGCUAUUUACUGAAAUUUCACCCAAAAAUGCUCCAAUGUGGACGCGUUUUGUAUUUUUCGACCUUUCUGAUAAAUAAUGAAAAAAUUGGCCCAUUUCCGUAAAUAAAGUUGGAACUGGGCCAUUAUUGGUAAAAUGGUCCUUUAGAAUGGAACAAAUAAAAUGACAAAAAUAUCAAAACAAAGAUAAAAAUAAAUUUCAAUGCUUGAACUUUAAUUCUAAACAAUACAAAUAAUUAAUUUACAUUUUUAUCGACCAUCAAGGUUUGUAAGAGUUACAUCAUUAAGUGAACCUCUAUCUUCAACAUUAUGGCUCAUUAGUGGUGCUUGAGUGAAAGCAGGUUGCUUUGGAGUGUUAAGAUCUGAAAUCUCACUAUUAAGCAUUGAAAUAACAGUAGAUAUAGUCGGCCUAUCUUUAGUAUAUUCUUGAACGCAUAGCAAUCCAACAUGUAUGCAUCUCCAUAUUUCUUUUUCAUUAUUUGAAUCUGAUUUCGACUCUAAAAUCACCUCGUCUACUAAGCCCCAAAUAUUGCCUUCCCUCCAUAAUUUCCAUGCCUGAAAACAAAAAAAACAACUUUUGACUUAAUUAAUGCCAAAAUUAUUCAGCUUAGCUUGACUCAAAAUUUUAAUCUUAAAGUUUAAAUAGAGUUUGAUCAACUCUAUUCAAGAUAAAGAUUGUAAUGUUCUAACUCUCUUAGGCUUGUUUUAGCUAAGUCUACAAUGAGCUUCACUCUUAUGCUUAACUUCAAACUUGAUUAUUUGUAAUCAAGUUCGAGUUUGAAUUGAAAAAUUUCAAUAUUGAUUAAGAUUGAAAAGCCUUGCAAGCUACUCGUUUCAAGUAUUAGGGUUCUUGAAGUUAGCUUGCGAGCUACUCGAAUCAAGCAUUAAGAUUCUCAAAUUCAACUCACAUGAUUGCUCGGCUCAAUAAUUGCUGAGCCAAAUUUAAGUUUUCUCAAAUCGAACCCGAAUAACUCGCAAAUACAACAUUUUACACCCUAAUUCCAUCCACCAACAUCUCAACUAUCUUAUAAACUUACAUAUCCCAAGAGGCUGAGGUCAUCCUUAUUGUUGUAAAAGCUUGUGUUUCUUCUUCCACUAACAAUCUCUAGUAGUAGAACUCCAUAGCUGAACACAUCUGAUUUCUCUGAAAAUUGCCCUUGCAUUGCAUACUCAGGAGACAUAUAACCAC